RNAcentral lists this small nuclear RNA (35 nucleotides) under Cervus elaphus hippelaphus. Lineage: Eukaryota; Metazoa; Chordata; Mammalia; Artiodactyla; Cervidae. The record is from RNAcentral.
AUCACUUCUUGGCCUUUUGGCUAAGAGCAAGUGUA